GUCUAUGGCCAUGCCACCCUGACCAAGCCCUAUCCUAUCUGAUCUCGGAAACUAAGCAGGGUCGGGCCUGGUUAGUACUUGGAUGAGAGACCACCUAGGAAGACCAGGUGCUGUAGGCG
Molecule: ribosomal RNA, 119 nt
Filed under: Pteropus alecto (black flying fox)
Lineage: Eukaryota; Metazoa; Chordata; Mammalia; Chiroptera; Pteropodidae
Source: RNAcentral